RNAcentral lists this Y RNA (99 nucleotides) under Chinchilla lanigera (long-tailed chinchilla). RNAcentral's name for it is "Y RNA (ENSCLAG00000020078.1)". It matches the Rfam family "Y RNA". From Rfam's summary of the family: Y RNAs are components of the Ro ribonucleoprotein particle (Ro RNP), in association with Ro60 and La proteins. The Y RNAs and Ro60 and La proteins are well conserved, but the function of the Ro RNP is not known. In humans the RNA component can be one of four small RNAs -- hY1, hY3, hY4 and hY5. The record is from Rfam by way of RNAcentral. Lineage: Eukaryota; Metazoa; Chordata; Mammalia; Rodentia; Chinchillidae.
GGCUGGCCCAAGUGCAAUGGUGUUUACAACUAAUUGAUCACAACUAGUUGUAGAUUUCUUUGCUCCUUCACUCCCACUGCUUCUCUUGACUAGUCUUAA